GCCAGGUGCAGUGGCGCACACCUGUAAUCCCAGCAGCUAGGGAGGCAAAGGCAGGAGGAUUGUGAGUUCAAAGCCAGCCUCAGCAAUUUAGUGAAGCACUAAGCAACUCAGUGAGACCUUGUCUCUA
Molecule: small RNA, 127 nt
Filed under: Marmota monax (woodchuck)
Lineage: Eukaryota; Metazoa; Chordata; Mammalia; Rodentia; Sciuridae
Source: RNAcentral